RNAcentral lists this unclassified non-coding RNA (259 nucleotides) under uncultured fungus. RNAcentral's name for it is "partial contains small subunit ribosomal RNA, internal transcribed spacer 1, and 5.8S ribosomal RNA". The stretch from base 1 to 73 matches the Rfam family "Eukaryotic small subunit ribosomal RNA", at positions 1759 to 1831 of the family's 1831-position model. Lineage: Eukaryota; Fungi. The record is from RNAcentral.
UCAAACUUGGUCAUUUAGAGGAAGUAAAAGUCGUAACAAGGUUUCCGUAGGUGAACCUGCGGAAGGAUCAUUACCGGGAAUGCCCUUCGGGGCCGACCUUCAACCCUUUGUUGUUAUCACCCUUGUUUCUUUGGCGGGCUCGCACCCGCCAGAAGAUCUCUCAAACUCAAUUACACGUGUCUUCUGAACGGCAACGAUAAUAAAAUAUAAAACUUUCAACAACGGAUCUCUUGGUUCUGGCAUCGAUGAAGAACGCAGC